GGUCUCGUAGCUCAGGGGGAGAGCGUCCGCCUCACACGCGGAAGGUCGCUGGUUCGAUCCCAGCCGGGACCACAA
Molecule: transfer RNA, 75 nt
Filed under: Mycobacterium nonchromogenicum
Lineage: Bacteria; Bacillati; Actinomycetota; Actinomycetes; Mycobacteriales; Mycobacteriaceae
Also listed under: 11 other names
Description: Mycolicibacter nonchromogenicus tRNA-Val
Rfam family: tRNA
About the family: Transfer RNA (tRNA) molecules are approximately 80 nucleotides in length. Their secondary structure includes four short double-helical elements and three loops (D, anti-codon, and T loops). Further hydrogen bonds mediate the characteristic L-shaped molecular structure. tRNAs have two regions of fundamental functional importance: the anti-codon, which is responsible for specific mRNA codon recognition, and the 3' end, to which the tRNAs corresponding amino acid is attached (by aminoacyl-tRNA synthetases). tRNAs cope with the degeneracy of the genetic code in two manners: having more than one tRNA (with a specific anti-codon) for a particular amino acid; and 'wobble' base-pairing, i.e. permitting non-standard base-pairing at the 3rd anti-codon position.
Source: RNAcentral